UGGGGAAUAUUGCACAAUGGGCGAAAGCCUGAUGCAGCGACGCCGCGUGAGGGAUGACGGCCUUCGGGUUGUAAACCUCUUUCAGCAGGGACGAAGCGCAAGUGUCGGUACCUGCAGAAGAAGCGCCGGCUAACUAAGUGCCAGCAGCCGCGGUAAUACGUAGGGUGCAAGCGUUGUCCGGAAUUACGGGGCUUAAAGAGUUCGUAGGCGGUUUGUCGCGUCGUUUGUGAAAACCAGCAGCUCAACUGCUGGCUUGCAGGCGAUACGGGCCGGCUUGAGUACGGCAAGGGGGACUGGAAUUCCUGGUGUAGCGGUGAAAUGCGCGGAUAUCAGGAGGGACGCCGGUGGCGAAGGCGGGUCUCUGGGCAGUAACUGACGCUGAGGAACGAAAGCGUGGGUAGCGAACAGG
This 409-nucleotide ribosomal RNA is filed under the name bacterium. Its description in RNAcentral is "partial 16S ribosomal RNA". It matches the Rfam family "Bacterial small subunit ribosomal RNA", at positions 355 to 776 of the family's 1533-position model. The record is from RNAcentral.